AGAAACAGCCCAGAACUUCAUAUAAAUUGUCCAGUGCUACAUCAACCCGUGAAUUAGUAUUCAUGGCCUCGCCCACCUCGGCUCGAGACCACCCACAGGCAGCGCUGAAGCCGGGCAGAGACGCUGCCUUGUCAGAUAGGAGCUAACAGCGCUAGAAACAGUAUGCAGUUCAUUCCUGUGUUAUUUGUGCGAAUAACACAUCAGUUUUUUUAUACUUUACCCAGUAAUUCAGAGCUAAGAAACAAAUGGUUAGAAUUUGUCUAUGGAGGAAAAACACCACCAGCCAAGUACAAAUGAGAUUGAGGUAGGUGUAUGUUUAGAUCAGUUCUGUUUACACUAGUUAAAAGUAAAAAUACACCCCGGAGUGUUGUGUCAACUGCCUGGGCGGCUCUGCUGCGGCUCAGCAAACAAAACCCUGAGGUGGAUUUUAACUUUCUAGACCUGGUCUACCCAUCUCUGUGUGUAAUUAACUAUAGGUUUAAAUAGGAUCUCCAGUGGAUUUGGUGUUUUACAGAGACUCUAAGACUAGGUCAGUGGCUGAAGUGCACUUAGCAGGGUAUUAUUACACAUGUUGUGAAGUAACAUAUUACAUUGCAAAAACUUAGUUAUUAGUGUAAAAAUGUCUUUAUUUUACAACAUUUCUAACUGUUAUCAGUCUCGCUGCCUCCUGGCGUCAAAGAGCUGUAAGCCAAUCAGAGACGAUAUGUUUGCAUGUAUGAAUAUUCAUGAGCAAGAGCUGAAAUCCUAUUAACACCCCCUACUCCUCCAAAGUACUAAAGCAGCGUUAUACCGGAUCACCUGAGCUGUUUUUUUUUUUUUUUUUUUUUUUUUUUUUUUUUUUGUUUGUUUGUUUUUUUACUGAAAACAGCUCACAAUGCAUUUAUUCAUACUAUAGACCAGAACUAGACAUUUUAAAAUGAAUGAAAAAUGAGACCUCUGGGAGAACUAAGGUUAGCAGAGAGCUAGCUAAUGAUACCAGAUAGAGAACUAAGAUUAGUGAAGAGCUAGCUAAUGAUACCAGAUAGAGAACUAAGGUUAGCGAAGAGCUAGCUAAUAAUACCAGAUAGAGAACUAAGGUUAGCGAAGAGCUAGCUAAUAAUACCAGAUAGAGAACUAAGAUUAGCGAAGAGCUAGCUAAUGAUACCAGAUAGAGAACUAAGGUUAGCGGGAGCUAGCUAAUGAUACCAGAUAGAGAACUAAGGUUAGCAAAGAGCUAGCUAAUGAUACCAGACAGAGAACUAAGAUUAGCGAAGAGCUAGCUAAUGAUACCAGAUAGAGAACUAAGGUUAGCGGGAGCUAGCUAAUGAUACCAGAUAGAGAACUAAGGUUAGCAAAGAGCUAGCUAAUGAUACCAGACAGAGAACUAAGGUUAGCGGAGAGCUAGCUAAUGAUGCCAGAUAGAGAACUAAGAUUAGCGAAGAGCUAGCUAAUGAUACCAGAUAGAGAACUAAGGUUAGCAGAGAGCUAGCUAAUGAUACCAGAUAGAGAACUAAUAUUAGUGAAGAGCUAGCUAAUGAUACCAGAUAGAGAACUAAGAUUAGCGAAGAGCUAGCUAAUGAUGCCAGAUAGAGAACUAAGGUUAGCGGGAGCUAGCUAAUGAUACCAGAUAGAGAACUAAGGUUAGCGGAGAGCUAGCUAAUGAUACCAGAUAGAGAACUAAGGUUAGCGGAGAGCUAGCUAAUGAUACCAGAUAGAGAACUGAGGUUAGCGGAGAGCUAGCUAAUGAUACCAGAUAGAGAACUGAGGUUAGCGGAGAGCUAGCUAAUGAUACCAGAUAGAGAACUAAGGUUAGCGGAGAGCUAGCUAAUGAUACCAGAUAGAGAACUGAGGUUAGCGGAGAGAUAGCUAAUGAUUCCAGAUAGAGAACUAAUGUUAGCAAAGAGCUAGCUAAUGAUACCAGAUAGAGAACUAAUGUUAGCAAAGAGCUAGCUAAUGAUACCAGAUAGAGAACUAAUGUUAGCGAAGAGCUAGCUAACACUACCGAGGAGAGAACUAUGGUUGCCAAAGAAAUUUGACUACAUUUUUGGGUUUAAAUUAUAUUUACUGAGGUCUUAAAAAGGUUUUAAAAUGCAUUAAAUUGGACUUUUAAAAUGGUCCAGGAACCCUGAAUAACCCUGAAUCCUGUCUUUCUC
Long non-coding RNA from Astyanax mexicanus (Mexican tetra), 2132 nucleotides. RefSeq lists it as uncharacterized. Lineage: Eukaryota; Metazoa; Chordata; Actinopteri; Characiformes; Acestrorhamphidae. The record is from RefSeq and is a predicted model, not a curated record. The transcript is spliced from 4 exons.